GAUGAACGCUGGCGGCGUGCUUAAUACAUGCAAGUCGAGCGAACAGAUGAGGAGCUUGCUCCUCUGACGUUAACGGCGGACGUGUGAGUAACACGUGGAUAACCUAACUAUAAGACUACGAUAACUUCGUGAAACCGGUACUAAUAACGGAUAAUAUAUGCAACCGCAUGGUUCAAUAGUUAAAGACGGUUUUGCUGUCACUUAUAGAUGUAUCCGCGCCGCAGUAGCUGGUUGGUAAGGUAACGGCUUACCAAGGCAACGCUGCGUGGCCGACCUGAGAGGGUGAAGCGCCACACUGGAACUGAGAGACGGUCCAGACUCUUACGGGAGGCAGCGGCACGGACUCUUGCGCGAUGGGGGGAAGCCUGAAGGAGCAACGCAGCGUGAGUGCUGAAGGUCUUCGGAUCGGAAGACUCUGUUCUUAGGGAAGACCAAAUGUGUAAGUAACUAUGCACGUCUUGACGGUACCUAAACAGAAAGCCACGGCUAACUACGUG
Molecule: ribosomal RNA, 497 nt
Filed under: uncultured bacterium
Lineage: Bacteria
Description: partial 16S ribosomal RNA
Rfam family: Bacterial small subunit ribosomal RNA
Source: RNAcentral